Molecule: microRNA, 22 nt
Filed under: Alligator mississippiensis (American alligator)
Lineage: Eukaryota; Metazoa; Chordata; Crocodylia; Alligatoridae
Description: Ami-Mir-1662_3p* (star (passenger))
Source: RNAcentral
CCCAAGAAGGCUGAUGUCAGGC